RNAcentral lists this ribosomal RNA (468 nucleotides) under uncultured bacterium. Its description in RNAcentral is "partial 16S ribosomal RNA". It matches the Rfam family "Bacterial small subunit ribosomal RNA", at positions 28 to 507 of the family's 1533-position model. The record is from RNAcentral.
GACGAACGCUGGCGGCGUGCUUAACACAUGCAAGUCGAACGGAAAGGCCCUGCUUUUGUGGGGUGCUCGAGUGGCGAACGGGUGAGUCACACGUGAGUAACCUGCCCUUGACUUUGGGAUAACUUCAGGAAACUGGGGCUAAUACCGGAUAGGAGCUCCUGCUGCAUGGUGGGGGUUGGAAAGUUUCGGCGGUUGGGGAUGGACUCGCGGCUUAUCAGCUUGUUGGUGGGGUAGUGGCCUACCAAGGCUUUGACGGGUAGCCGGCCUGAGAGGGUGACCGGCCACAUUGGGACUGAGAUACGGCCCAGACUCCUACGGGAGGCAGCAGUGGGGAAUAUUGCACAAUGGGCGGAAGCCUGAUGCAGCAACGCCGCGUGCGGGAUGACGGCCUUCGGGUUGUAAACCGCUUUCGCCUGUGACGAAGCGUGAGUGACGGUAAUGGGUAAAGAAGCACCGGCUAACUACGUG